Molecule: ribosomal RNA, 300 nt
Filed under: uncultured bacterium
Lineage: Bacteria
Description: bacterial SSU rRNA
Rfam family: Bacterial small subunit ribosomal RNA
Source: RNAcentral
GCGUGGGGGAUGAAGGUCUUCGGAUUGUAAACCCCUGUUGGGAGGGACGAAGGUCUGCGGGCGAAUAGUCCGCAGUCUUGACGGUACCUCCAGAGGAAGCCCCGGCUAACUCUGUGCCAGCAGCCGCGGUAAUACAGAGGGGGCUAGCGUUAUUCGGAAUUAUUGGGCGUAAAGGGCGCGUAGGCGGCUGGGCAAGUCUAAGGUGAAAUCCCUCGGCUCAACCGAGGAACUGCCUUGGAAACUGCCCGGCUUGAGGCCGGGAGAGGGUAGUGGAAUUCCCAGUGUAGCGGUGAAAUGCGU